This 75-nucleotide transfer RNA is filed under the name Desulfobulbaceae bacterium. Its description in RNAcentral is "tRNA-Val". It matches the Rfam family "tRNA". Rfam says of the family: Transfer RNA (tRNA) molecules are approximately 80 nucleotides in length. Their secondary structure includes four short double-helical elements and three loops (D, anti-codon, and T loops). Further hydrogen bonds mediate the characteristic L-shaped molecular structure. tRNAs have two regions of fundamental functional importance: the anti-codon, which is responsible for specific mRNA codon recognition, and the 3' end, to which the tRNAs corresponding amino acid is attached (by aminoacyl-tRNA synthetases). tRNAs cope with the degeneracy of the genetic code in two manners: having more than one tRNA (with a specific anti-codon) for a particular amino acid; and 'wobble' base-pairing, i.e. permitting non-standard base-pairing at the 3rd anti-codon position. Lineage: Bacteria; Pseudomonadati; Thermodesulfobacteriota; Desulfobulbia; Desulfobulbales; Desulfobulbaceae. The record is from RNAcentral.
GGCGGCAUAACUCAGUUGGCCUAGAGUGUCGGUUUUACAAGCCGAAAGUCCUUGGUUCGAAUCCAAGUGCCGCUA